RNAcentral lists this transfer RNA (73 nucleotides) under Felis catus (domestic cat). It matches the Rfam family "tRNA". From Rfam's summary of the family: Transfer RNA (tRNA) molecules are approximately 80 nucleotides in length. Their secondary structure includes four short double-helical elements and three loops (D, anti-codon, and T loops). The record is from Rfam by way of RNAcentral. Lineage: Eukaryota; Metazoa; Chordata; Mammalia; Carnivora; Felidae.
ACGCGACUGGCUUAGUUGGUAGAGCAUGUGACUCUGGGUCUCAGGGCUGUGAGUUCAAGUCCCAUGUUGGGCG